GUAGGUGGCAAGCGUUGUCCGGAAUUAUUGGGCGUAAAGCGCGCGCAGGUGGGUUCUUUAAGUCUGAUGUGAAAGCCCCCGGGCUCAACCGGGGAGGGUCAUUGGAAACUGGGGAACUUGAGUGCAGGAGAGGAAAGUGGAAUUCCACGUGUAGCGGUGAAAUGCGUAGAUAUGUGGAGGAACACCAGUGGCGAAGGCGACUUUCUGGCCUGUAACUGACACUGAGGCGCGAAAGCGUGGGGAGCAAACAGGAUUAGACACCCUGGUAGUCCACGCCGUAAACGAUGAGUGCUAAGUGUUGGGGGGUUUCCGCCCCUCAGUGCUGCAGCUAACGCAUUAAGCACUCCGCCUGGGGAGUACGGUCGCAAGACUG
RNAcentral lists this ribosomal RNA (373 nucleotides) under uncultured organism. Its description in RNAcentral is "partial 16S ribosomal RNA". It matches the Rfam family "Bacterial small subunit ribosomal RNA", at positions 527 to 896 of the family's 1533-position model. The record is from RNAcentral.